ACCCAAAGGCCGAUAUACCAGCUUUAACCAGAGUCAGUCUCAGCCGUUCCAAAUCCAUUCCCUCGCAUUGCCGUAUCUUGCCAUAAAGAGUGUAGUAGGUUUGGAGGUGCUGGAGAGAGCAGGCCAAAUGUUGCACUUUUGCACUCGCUGGUUCUGAGACCACCUCUCCAGGUGCUAAAAGCCUGUCCUCUAGCUCAGCGGCUCCAUUUUAUACUGAGUGGUGCAAUCGCUCUGUGCAGCUAAAGCACAAAGGCAUUUUCAAACCUCCUCUUUGAAAGACUACUGUAAAAUGUCUAUUUCAGUGUAUGAUGCUAGGGUGAUAAUACGUGUAACUUAUCUAGACUCAUACCAUUAACACCUUGGACUGGUUCUGUUUUUUAUGGCCUAAUCACAAAUCUGAACAUCAUCGCAAAAUUAAGCGACUGCCUUUUUAAUAUUGCAAUGCAAUUUUACCUUAGUCACGUGCCAUAGAGCCAUUUUGAAUCUAGCAUCAGAUAUUAAAAUGUUACAUUUUCCCGAUUUAACCACUUUUUUAAAUUGAAUGCAUUUCAGAGGCAGGUUUCUGGCUAUUUUCUCACAUCUGUCUUUGGAAUUUGCAGUAAAACAUAAAACGUGCCUCCCUGAUUCUGUUCUCUAAUGCACUGCCAGUGCUAUCAGUGAACACCUGAACAGCUUCCUAUUUUUCUCAAAUUGAAAACACUGUUAGAAGCUUUUUUUUUUUUUGUAUUAGCUAUCAAAAACAUAUUAUUUCCUUGUCUCACUUAGUUAAUAUUUUAGAGUAAUCGGGUAAAGUGGCUGUUUUUGCUGGGCUUUUUUUUCUUCCAGCUUAAACUAUAAGCCGCUCUUGUCUCUUAACGUGUUUAGAUCGGUUUUAUCAUGUCUUUUGUUUUGUCUUUUCGAGGAACCCGAUCAUGCAGAGGUCCAUACUUGGAAGCCUCCCCCUCUUCCUCAGUCUAGUGUAAAAUAGUUGUAUCUAGAGCCACUGUCUCCAACUCAGGCAAUUCUCUUUAAAUUUUGUUUCAUUUUUGAGGUGUUUUCGUAUGUCUACUGCUAGACCACAGUGAUAUAUUAUAUUGUCUCUAGUGCCAUUUGAUGCAUUCUACUUCAAGGCCAAUUGUUAAGUCCACUUAUAUACUGUACAGGAAAAUAUCAAGGUAAAAAAUAAACUAAAGGGGGCAUAAAAGGUUAUUCAUAAAUAUUGCUCUGAGCUUGUUUUGAGCCAGCGCUAUGGCGUGGCCCAGCUUGUUUCCAAACCAGUGGCACUGUAAGAUCAGCUACAUGAAAAAAUAUGAUCUGUUUUAAAUUAUUGAUAUUUUCUCUUAAGACCAAUUUGUGUGUUUUGUUGUGCUCUCCUGAAUUCAGUUUUUUUUAUUCAAUGGAUUGACAAGCACUUAUUGUAGAUCACUAGUGCAGCUACUCAUGUGGCUUUUUUUAAAAUUAUACUUUUGCUGUUUUGCAAAAGCACAUUUUUUUUAAUGAAUUUUACCAAGCAGGAGGAAAACGGUGGAAAGGGUUCCGUCUUGGUCCUUUUGUUGUCCCUUUCAAUUUUCCGCCAUCCUUUUUUGUUUUUCAUCAAAAUCAAUGUAUCUGGUUAAUUAUAUUAGAUUGCUGAUGGUGUUGUAGCGAAAAGAGAUUUUUUGUAAAUUGUGAAUAAAUUGUAUCACGUUUCCUUUCAUCAAUUGUUUGUGUAUCAUGACAAAUGUAUGAUUGGUUUGUCUGUCUUUGCUCAGUUUUUCUUUUGUAAUUCUCAAACCAAAUUUAUUUUUGUGAUAAUGUUGGGACACUGAAUUAUAGAUUUAUAUGGUUGCUAACUUUUGAUUUAAGAGAACAUGAUUUGAACAGUAUUUUAAACAAUUGACAAACAUCCUAGAGAAAACAAAGUCACAGAUAAAGAUUUGUCAUUGUCACCAAAUGAUAUUCUCCAACUUUUACCUUUUAGCUUUAUAGAACCUUGUUAUCGGAUGUGGGUUCUGGUUAGGUAGGGGAUGUCGGGUAGUAGCCAAUGUUGAAGAGAUGGCUGGUGUAAAAGAGUCUUUGCUUGUAGAUGUGCAGCAUUUUGAGGGCCUACUGAUUUAGCCAACAUUUUAUGACCAUUUGACCCAUACAUUAUUCCCCUGCUGUUUGAUCUGUUGGCAGACCUUAGACUAGAGGGUGGGAAUGGAGGUGUUUGGCCGGCACUAGUCACGGCCUAGUUUAUUAACAUAAUUUAGGCCCAACUAAUCCCUGGCACUGUAGGUAUCUUGCCUUCACCUCUGUUACGUUUGAUAACUGGUGCAUCUAUGUCCACCACAGUCCUAGUUCAUAGGCAAAAUAUGACUUUGAUGUGACUGUCAGAUAAUUGGCACUCAGUCUUUAUGUAUAGUUUACCCAAACUUGGCAAUAAUAAUUAAAACAUUCUACUUUUUUGAAUUUCUUGUUUUGUAAUGCUUUGGCGGAAUUUACAAUUACCUGUCUUUUCCAUUUGAAUCUGUCUCCUUUUCAUGGACCUUUCUCAAUCUGUUUACUGUUUUCUCUUAAGUAGAAGUAGUAAUGCAAUGGUUAGGUUUGUGGCCAGCUGAAAGUUAAGUGUAUAGAGGUAAUGUGUCACUAUGUAAUGCACUGGACCAACUCUUGUUUACCAGUUAUGGAAUACCAGCAACACACUUGCACAAUGUUCUAAAGAGUUAUGUAUUUGAAAAAAAAUAUAGAUAUAUAAAACAUGGCAGCUGUUUUUAAUGUAAUAUUAGGACAUGUACAGCAACCUAAUGGUAAACCAUGGUCUUCAUUAUUUCACUGUUAUCCUCUAGUCUUGGUUCUCUUGAGUAGUUGUGUUUAUACCAGGGUCAGCUUGUUUCCUUUACAC
This 2842-nucleotide long non-coding RNA is filed under the name Salmo salar (Atlantic salmon). RNAcentral's name for it is "lncRNA (ENSSSAG00000103696.1)". The record is from RNAcentral. Lineage: Eukaryota; Metazoa; Chordata; Actinopteri; Salmoniformes; Salmonidae.